This 332-nucleotide unclassified non-coding RNA is filed under the name soil metagenome. RNAcentral's name for it is "partial contains 5.8S ribosomal RNA, internal transcribed spacer 2, and large subunit ribosomal RNA". The stretch from base 2 to 119 matches the Rfam family "5.8S ribosomal RNA", at positions 37 to 154 of the family's 154-position model. The record is from RNAcentral.
GUGAAGAACGCAGCGAAAUGCGAUAAGUAAUGUGAAUUGCAGAAUUCAGUGAAUCAUCGAAUCUUUGAACGCACAUUGCGCCCGCCAGUAUUCUGGCGGGCAUGCCUGUCCGAGCGUCAUUUCAACCAUCAAGCCCCGGGCUUGUGUUGGGGACCUGCGUCCGACGCAGGCCCUGAAAACCAGUGGCGGGCUCGCUGUCCACACCGAGCGUAGUAACUAACCUCGCUAUGGAGUGGCGCGGGCGCCUGCCGUAAAACCCCCAAUUUUUACAAGGUUGACCUCGGAUCAGGUAGGAAUACCCGCUGAACUUAAGCAUAUCAAUAAGCGGAGGA